Long non-coding RNA from Armigeres subalbatus, 1096 nucleotides. RefSeq lists it as uncharacterized. The transcript is spliced from 4 exons. The record is from RefSeq and is a predicted model, not a curated record. Lineage: Eukaryota; Metazoa; Arthropoda; Insecta; Diptera; Culicidae.
AAAACUGUACAAAUCAACGGUCAGUCAGUUCGCUCUAGACCGCAUGCAGAUCGCUCGUGCGUCCAAUAAAUUCGUCCCGCGUGAUAAGUUCACAGUAGGCCACUUAGACCGUGUAGUGAUUUUAGAGGUCGGACAUUUGUGUGCAAGUAACAGUUCCUGGCCAGCUUGGAAUUAAUUCAAGUGGCCGACAUUACCUCCGAAAGUGACGAUCACGUGAACAAAUACUGUUCUGGACGGCAGAGCUCGGACGGAGUGGACUGCACGUGGAAUCUGGAUAAUAAUCCCAAUGCCAGUGACCAGUGGAUUAUUGGACUAACUGACUAUUUUGUUGUUCGCCGUCGGGAGAAAUUUUGCACAACGGGAAUUGCGGAUUGUGUUGCUCUCCGCAGGCGAUUGAGUCGCGAAACAAAAGCCAAAGGCGCGGCAGACAGUUCGUCACGAGACCGAAAGUGCGGAGAGUGUCGGUCGACAAGAACAAAACCGCAAUAUCAUCCGGAGUCAAGAAGAAGACCGAUAGGCGUUCCGUUCGGGAAAAGGAAGUCCCUACUGAGGGGCUUCUUUUUUCAUAUUUACAGUUUUGUUCUCGGAGCACGCUGAAACGACGAGCGUGAAGCGCAAGGCAACGACAGAGAAACGGGAAGAAUUCCACCAUUAGAGCCACCUCGAAAGACUCCCGUGCAGGGAAGUGCGGACCCCGUCAACGAGUGAACGGUCGCUCCGUCGAUACCGGUGCGGAAGGCCGGAGAAUCGGUACCUGGCUGGCUAAGAGCGAGCACCGUCAACGAGUGAACAGUCGGUCCGUCAACACCGGUGCGGAGGACCGGAGAAGCGGGCGCCUGGCUGGCUGAACGACCCUCCUACACCCAGUACGCCAAUCCGGAGGCGUUGACAGGGACGGCUCAACGAUGGCAGAAGGAAAAAUCUCUAGGCAGUUCGGUCAGAUGGUGGCGAUCCUGGGUCGAUCGGGUGCCGUAGGGCUGUAAACCGUGAGUCAGUGAUUGUAGUUUUAAGAUCAUGAUCAAAUUAGCCUAGGAGAGACAGGAACCCAGAGUAGGUUGAUGAGAAACGCUUUUCUAAUAUAAUGUGUUAAAAUGAA